This 869-nucleotide ribosomal RNA is filed under the name uncultured bacterium. RNAcentral's name for it is "bacterial SSU rRNA". It matches the Rfam family "Bacterial small subunit ribosomal RNA", at positions 10 to 877 of the family's 1533-position model. The record is from RNAcentral.
AGUUUGAUCCUGGCUCAGGAUGAACGCUGGCGGCGUGCCUAAUACAUGCAAGUCGAACGAAUCUCUUUUAGAGAUGAGUGGCGAACGGGUGAGUAAUACAUAGGUAACCUGCCCCUGUGCGGGGGAUAACAGGAGGAAACUCCUGCUAAUACCGCAUAGCCAUGAGCACCGCAUGGAGCUCAUGCCAAAUAUCCUUUAUGGGAUAGCGCAGGGAUGGACCUAUGGCGCAUUAGCUGGUUGGCGGGGCAACGGCCCACCAAGGCAACGAUGCGUAGCCGGCCUGAGAGGGCGGACGGCCACAUUGGGACUGAGACACGGCCCAGACUCCUACGGGAGGCAGCAGUAGGGAAUUUUCGGCAAUGGGGGAAACCCUGACCGAGCAACGCCGCGUGAGCGAAGAAGGCCUUCGGGUCGUAAAGCUCUGUUGUAAAGGAAGAACGGCGCAUACAGGAAAUGGUAUGCGAGUGACGGUACUUUACCAGAAAGCCACGGCUAACUACGUGCCAGCAGCCGCGGUAAUACGUAGGUGGCGAGCGUUAUCCGGAAUCAUUGGGCGUAAAGAGGGAGCAGGCGGCCGCAAGGGUCUGUGGUGAAAGACCGAAGCUAAACUUCGGUAAGCCAUGGAAACCGGGCGGCUAGAGUGCGGAAGAGGAUCGUGGAAUUCCAUGUGUAGCGGUGAAAUGCGUAGAUAUAUGGAGGAACACCAGUGGCGAAGGCGACGGUCUGGGCCGCAACUGACGCUCAUUCCCGAAAGCGUGGGGAGCAAAUAGGAUUAGAUACCCUAGUAGUCCACGCCGUAAACGAUGGUCACUAAGUGUCGGGGGUCAAACCCCGGUGCUGCAGUCAACGCAAUAAGUGACCCGCCUGAG